GGCGACUGAAAUGUCACGAGCUCAGCAUGUGAAUCAGCGUUUGCCUUAGUGAGCGCUGAAUUGUGGUCUUACGGUUGUUGCGCCAAUUCGUCCAGACCAUGUUUUUUGGAAUAAAAUAGCACAGAGGGUGAAACUCCCGUUUGUCUGGUCACACGAAGCAAGAACCACUGAGUCGAGUUGUUUGGGAUUGCAGCUCAAAUGCGGUGGUAAAUUCCAUCUCAAGCUAAAUAUUGGUAGGAAACCGAUAGCGAACAAGUACCGUGAGGGAAAGAUGCAAAGAACUUUGAAAAGAGAGUGAAAGAGUACCUGAAAUUGCUGAAAAGGAAGCGAACGAAGCUAGUGAACGCUCUGUCAUACUUUCCUACUUGCUUGCAAGUCGGACGCUGUGGCAAGCCCUGUUCGAUUUGAUUGCUCCAUGUGAAAGCAGGCAAAGAAAAGACACCCAUUCUCUUUU
Molecule: ribosomal RNA, 454 nt
Filed under: Pinnularia borealis complex sp.
Lineage: Eukaryota; Bacillariophyta; Bacillariophyceae; Sellaphorales; Pinnulariaceae
Description: partial 28S ribosomal RNA
Rfam family: Eukaryotic large subunit ribosomal RNA
Source: RNAcentral